UUUAUUGGAGAGUUUGAUCCUGGCUCAGGAUGAACGCUGGCGGCGUGCCUAAUACAUGCAAGUCGAGCGAAUGGAUUAAGAGCUUGCUCUUAUGAAGUUAGCGGCGGACGGGUGAGUAACACGUGGGUAACCUGCCCAUAAGACUGGGAUAACUCCGGGAAACCGGGGCUAAUACCGGAUAACAUUUUGAACCGCAUGGUUCGAAAUUGAAAGGCGGCUUCGGCUGUCACUUAUGGAUGGACC
RNAcentral lists this ribosomal RNA (243 nucleotides) under Bacillus cereus. Its description in RNAcentral is "partial 16S ribosomal RNA". It matches the Rfam family "Bacterial small subunit ribosomal RNA", at positions 1 to 231 of the family's 1533-position model. Lineage: Bacteria; Bacillati; Bacillota; Bacilli; Caryophanales; Bacillaceae. The record is from RNAcentral.